AUGGCUAUCGGAAAUUUCUCAUUACUUGCUGCUGCUGCAAGAAGGUAUAUUAUAAUUUAUAUAUGCAUCUAUUUACUGUUUUUUUUUUUUCCCUCUUCACACCUCCUAAAAUCUUAUUAUUUUCAUUUUAUCCUAACUUGUCCCAAUUAAAACAAGAUGAUUGUAUUCUUUUUUGUUUUUUUCUUUUGUUUUCUAGGAUGGUCGUAGUUGUCAUCACUAUGGCUCUGGUAACUAUCAUGGCUGUGUCCUAAAUUUCUUUUUGAAUUCUAAUUAUGUUUUAAAAUAAAAUGGGGCUUUGAGUAAUUAGUUAUUUUCCACAGAAAACAACACUCAGUAGUUAGGCCGACCAUUAUUGUUGGUGUACUCUUUGUAUUGACACUUUGUGACUGGAGACCCUCUUUAUGGUUGGAUUAUUGAAGUAAUUUUCAGUUGCUAAAGAUGUCCUUACUUUGUUUCCUUUUUCAAUAUUUCUCAAUAGUUUCAUUAUAACUUUUAUAUUAAAUGAAUGUUUUAUAUACAUUUUUAUUUCAUGAAGAAUAAAUAAAAAUAAAAUCUAUAAAAUAGACCCAAGGGUGAAAUCAAAUCAAUGACUAUAGUGGGCUGUAGCCCAAGUAGAUUUUGAAGGAAAAAAAAAAUGUCUAUUUACAUGUUCCACCAGCAACAAUUUUGCUGCCUUUUGGCGAAAGUUUUUUUAAGGUGAAAAAAAAAAAAAAAAAAGGCUAUAUGGCCCACCAUCAAAUACAACACAUAAGAUUCAGGAAAUAUAUAUAUUUUUUGUCAAAUCAAUUUGUGUUCUCUGCUAUUUAACAAAAAGGGAAAAGCUAUUUAAUAUUGGACGGUCCAAUAAAAAUCCUCAUAAAUCUUUCAACCCACAAUUGCAGACUCAGUAAGUAAUUGAAAUUCAAAAGUAAGAAGAGGGCUUCAAAAAUGGAACAGUAUGUUAGCUAUUGUUUUGUGUUUACAACUAACACACACACACACUAUAUAUAUAUUCCUAGCUAAAAAUUUUGAUGUCUCUUUUUAGUUAAAAAUUUUAGGUAGCCCAUUCAUUCAUAAAUUCCUAGUUUCGCUUUAGUCACAGUUCCGCCCUAGUCACAUAAGGAUAAUGUACAUGAAAUUUAUUGAAGUCAAUUACAUUAAAACUCUUUGAGAUAUAUACAUAAGCGAUAGUCUAAAUUAUUCUCAAUUAAUCUGAUCUUCAAAGAGGAGAAUUUGAAAUUGGGGUGCACAGGCUCUUUGUUUUGUCAAUUAAAUUAUGAACCUAUGAUUUAACCCUUACACCUUUGACGAAUAUCAUAGCACAAUUAAAUUAUGAACCUAUAUUUGCUAAUUAUCUUACAAGAAGACCAUUGGAGACUAGGGAUCGGAGACAAAAACUCUAUUUUAUUUCAAAAUUUUCCCUUCAGUAAUUUUUAUAUGAAGUUCAUUUUCCCCUUUGUCGUUCUAAAUCCAACUUCCUUAUUUACAUUGAGUGGAACACAAGACUUUCACCAUUUGAGGAGUGAUUCGCCAUUGUUAUCAUGUUUUUUUGUUGAAACUCACACUGCUUUGUAAAUACUGAAGGCUUGAAGGUAAAGUGGCCGUAAUCACUGGUGGGGCGAGCGGCAUAGGAGAGUCCACUGCAAGACUCUUCUCAAAACAUGGAGCUAAAGUUGUGAUUGCAGAUGUGCAAGACGACUUGGCUGAAUCUGUUUGCAGAGACCUAAGCCCUUCGUCCACUUCGUUUGUCCAUUGCGAUGUAACGAAAGAAGAAGACGUCGAAAACGCUGUCCAAACAGCCACAAACAAAUAUGGAAAGCUAGACAUCAUGUUCAACAAUGCAGGUAUAGUUGGCAUGGUAAAACCCAACAUCCUUGACAAUGACAAGGUAGAAUUUGAGCAAGUGAUUAGGGUAAAUCUGGUUGGUGCGUUUUUGGGGAUCAAACAUGCAGCUCGCGUUAUGAUCCCAGCUGGAAAAGGUAGCAUAAUCAACACUGCUAGUGUUUGUUCUACCAUCGGGGGUUGCGCACCACAUGCAUACACGAGUUCAAAGCAUGGUUUAGUAGGGCUGGUGAGAAACACGGCCGUGGAACUUGGACAACACGGUAUUCGUGUGAAUUGUGUGUCACCGUAUAUAGUUUCCACGCCUUUAGCGAAGGAGUUCUUUAAGCUUGAUGAUGAUAAACUUCAUGGUGCUUAUUCCAACCUUAAAGGUGGGGUUCUUAAGGCAGAAGAUAUUGCUAAAGCUGCUCUUUACUUGGGUAGUGAUGAGUCAAAGUAUGUUAGUGGGCAUAAUCUUUUGGUAGAUGGAGGCUUCACUAUUGUGAACGCA
Molecule: long non-coding RNA, 2311 nt
Filed under: Prunus dulcis (almond)
Lineage: Eukaryota; Viridiplantae; Streptophyta; Magnoliopsida; Rosales; Rosaceae
Description: sRNA ncRNA
Source: RNAcentral